UCGCCCGACGGCAAGUUUUGUCGACUGAUGUCCUCCGACCGCAUGUCCUACGGCUGCGUGUCCUCCUCACUUUCUUCCAGCACUAACUAGGAUUUGGAUGCAGUGUAAGGAGUGCAAGUUCUCGCACCCUAAUCAGGAUAUUCUCCUCAAGCAUUACCGACUUUGCCACUACCGGGGACGCUUCUGGCCACUGCCGUGCCUGUACACUGACUGCUGCUGCACUUUCAAAACAAGCGAUAUAUGCUGAGUUUUUUUGAAUCACUCAAGUGGAUCUAAAGAAGACAUUCUUCACAUCUUUGGAUGCACACGCCUCAAACCUGAUAAAGCUUUACAGAACACGUAGCGGGACACUAGGAAAGGACUUAAAGGCCCUA
Limanda limanda (common dab) is the source of this 374-nucleotide long non-coding RNA. RefSeq lists it as uncharacterized. Lineage: Eukaryota; Metazoa; Chordata; Actinopteri; Pleuronectiformes; Pleuronectidae. The record is from RefSeq and is a predicted model, not a curated record. The transcript is spliced from 3 exons.